GUGAGGAAUAUUGCGCAAUGGAGGCAACUCUGACGCAGCCAUGCCGCGUGCAGGAAGAAGGCGCUACGCGUUGUAAACUGCUUUUAACCGGGAAGAAACCCCAGGACGUGUCCUGGGUUGACGGUACCGGAGGAAUAAGCACCGGCUAACUUCGUGCCAGCAGCCGCGGUAAUACGAAGGGUGCAAGCGUUAUCCGGAUUCAUUGGGUUUAAAGGGUGCGUAGGCGGAGCGUUAAGUCAGUGGUGAAAUCCUGCAGCUUAACUGUAGACUUGCCAUUGAUACUGGCGCUCUUGAGUGCGCUUGAAGUGGGCGGAAUGUGCCGUGUAGCGGUGAAAUGCUUAGAUAUGGCACAGAACACCAAUUGCGAAGGCAGCUCACUAAGGCGAUACUGACGCUGAGGCACGAAAGUGUGGGGAUCGAACAGGAUUAGAUACCCGUGUAGCC
This 444-nucleotide ribosomal RNA is filed under the name uncultured bacterium. RNAcentral's name for it is "partial 16S ribosomal RNA". It matches the Rfam family "Bacterial small subunit ribosomal RNA", at positions 354 to 795 of the family's 1533-position model. The record is from RNAcentral.